CCUUUUCCCUCAGAUUUCACCCUAUCCUUGACCCCUCACUUCUGUUCUCAGAGCUUAAAAGUCUUACGGAUGAAGGAAAAAGGAGCUGUUUGGAGAAAAUUCCUUAGAGAAGAAAGAGCAAAAAUAAGAGAUUUUUUUCAGAAGAGCAAGUGAAGGCAAGAUUUAAUUCCUUGUAAAACGAAAUCAUCCAAUAUUUCACGUCUAUCUAACUGAAAUUUCACUAA
This is a long non-coding RNA of Diceros bicornis minor, 224 nucleotides long. RefSeq lists it as uncharacterized. The transcript has 3 exons. The record is from RefSeq and is a predicted model, not a curated record. NCBI's taxonomy places the organism in Eukaryota, Metazoa, Chordata, Mammalia, Perissodactyla, Rhinocerotidae.